Molecule: ribosomal RNA, 259 nt
Filed under: uncultured prokaryote
Description: partial 16S ribosomal RNA
Rfam family: Bacterial small subunit ribosomal RNA
Source: RNAcentral
UACGGAGGAUGCGAGCGUUAUCCGGAUUUAUUGGGUUUAAAGGGUGCGUAGGCGGCUUUUUAAGUCAGCGGUGAAAUUUUGCAGCUUAACUGUAACAGUGCCGUUGAUACUGGGGAGCUAGGAUUUGGUUGCUGUGGGUGGAAUGUGUGGUGUAGCGGUGAAAUGCUUAGAGAUCACACAGAAUAUCGAUUGCGAAGGCAGCUCACAAAGCCAAGAUUGACGCUCAGGCACGAAGGCGUGGGGAUCAAACAGGAUUAGA